UUAAUUGAUAAUAUAGUUGGCUGGCCUGACAGAGGUGUCCGGCGCCACCACGACCCUUAGUGGAUUUUAUAUUGUGACAUACUACAAAGAUAACAAAGACAAAAUAAAUUGUCCAAAGUAUGGUCAACCUCGUUAUAAGCCUAAGAGAGGAGGCAGUGGAAGGCAAAAGGAUGUUCCAUAUAAAGUACUACGCUACUUUCCUAUAACUCCGAAAUUACAAAGGUUAUAUAUGUCAACAAAGACUGCUGAACAUAUGAUAUGGCACCAGAAAUCUCGCCGAGAACCUGGGGUAAUGAGUCAUCCAAGUGAUGGAGAGGCAUGGAAAAAGUUUGAUCAAUGCCAUCCUAAAUUUGCAGUUGAGCCUCGAAAUAUUAGGCUUGGACUUGCAGCUGAUGGGUUUAGUCCAUAUGGGCAGAUGUCCCAUCCUUAUUCUUGUUGGCCAGUAAUCAUCACACCAUACAAUCUUCCACCCGGAAUGUGCAUGAGUAGCCCGUAUAUGUUCUUAUAUAGACUUAUAUUUACAACCUCUCAUUGAUGAAUUGAAGCAAUUAUGGGUUGACGGGGCUGGACUUAUGCCUCUUAUAAGAAACAAAAUUUUCAAAUGCGAGCUGCACUUAUGUGGACUAUCAAUGACUUUCCAGCUUAUGGAAUAUUGUUUGGCUGGAGCACCCACGGUCAUUUGGCAUGCCCUUGUUGUAUGGGGAAAAGUAAGGCAUUUCAUUUAAAAGAUGGAAGAAAGGCUUCAUUCUUUGAUUGUCAUCUUAAAUUUUUGCCAGUAGGUCAUUCAUUUCGUAGGGAUAAAAAAUCAUUUUUAAAAGGUAGAGUUGAGCACUCUGCACCUCCUCCUAGGUUGUCUAGUGAAGAAGUUUGGAACAACGUGCGUGACUUGCCAAAGAUUUUCGAUAAUUGCACCUCGAAUAAGUUGCCAGGAUUUGGGGAUCAACAUAAUUGGACAAAACAAAGUAUUUUCUGGGAAUUACCAUAUUGGCACACUAAUAUUCUUCGGCAUAAUCUCGAUGUGAUGCAUAUCGAGAAAAACGUGUUUGAUAAUAUAUUUAACAUAGUAAUGGAUGUAAAAGAUAAAACGAAGGACAAUUUAAAAGCUAGAAUGGAUGUGCAUACUUAUUGCAAUCGUCCAGAGCUUGAAUUGAAGGAGCAUCAAGGGAAACAUUUGAAGCCAAAGGCAGCAUACUCACUAACAAAAGAAUAAAGGAAGUUAAUAUGUGAAUGGGUGAAAAGUUUGAGGUUUGCAGAUGGUUAUGCCUCCAAUUUGUCUAGAUGUGUAGACAUGGAAGAUUAUUAAUUAUCAAGGAUGAAGAGCCAUGAUUGUCAUGUAUUUCUAGAAAGGUUGCUACCAAUUGCAUUUCGAGAUUUUUUGCAGGGCCAAUUUGGAAUGCAUUAACAGGGAUCAGCUUAUUUUAUAAAGGUUUAUGUGCAACUGUUUUAAAAGUAGAAGAUCUACAAAAACUUGAAGAAAGCAUAAAGAUUACAAUUUGCAAGAUAGAGAAAAUAUUUCCUCCUGGUUUCUUUGAUCCCAUGGAACAUCUGCCGAUUCAUUUAGCAUAUGAAGCAAUAGUUGGUGGUCCAGUUCAGUUUCGGUGGAUGUAUCCUUUUGAGCGGGAGCUACACAAUUACAAAAAGAAGGCAGAAAAUAGAGCUCGUGUCGAGGGAUCAAUAUGUGAAGCUUAUAUCAUUCAAGAAAAUUCAACGUUCAGUUCCUAUUAUUUCCAGCCUAACGUGCAAACUAGGCUAAACAAAGUUACUCGAAAUGAUGAUGGAGAUGAAGUUGAUGCACCUGAUGGUUGUUUGUCCAUCUUUUUGCAUCCAGGACGUGCAAGUGGGGGGAGAGAUGGUCGGUAUCUGACUGAUGAUGAGUGGGAUGCGGCACGUUUAUAAGUUCUAUUAAAUUGUGAGGAGGUUCAACAAUUCGUCCAUAUUUUUGAAGCUGAAUUAAGAAGGGAUUCGGAAAAUAUUAGCCUCGAGCAAAUUGAGAAAGAGACAAAUAGUAAAUUUGCCAAGUGGUUUGAAUCAUAUGUUCUUAAUGCAGCUAAUAACAUAACUGAUGAGCGAUUGAAAGACUUAGCUUCUGGUCCUUAUAGGUGGGUGCAAACACGGCCUCAGUAUUUUACGAAUGGCUAUAAGUUCGACACUCUUACAUACGGCUCUAACAAAACAACUAUGAAUAGUGGUGUGUGCAUCAAAGGAACAAGUUGGAGUGACUAUGAAAGUGACUACUAUGGAUUGCUCAUUGAGGUGAUACAACUAGAGUAUUCUAAUUCGACAAAGAAAAGAACUACUCUCGUAUUGUUCAAAUGUGAUUGGUUUGAUCCAACAAUGGGCCGAGGGCUGAAGGUCCAUAAUCAAUAUGGUCUAAUCGAUAUCAACCAUAAGAAAAGUUUCUCGAGCUAUGCCUAUGAACGUUUUGUGUUGGCUGAACAAGCACAACAAGUAUAUUUUGCAGAAUAUCCCAGUAAAAAAAAAGAUAGGGCUGAGUGGUGAGCAGUGUGCAAAAUAAAAGCUAGAAGCCGUAUUGAUUCUCCAAAUAUCCCGUACCAAGAAGAUGAGGAUUUACCCGCGGUACUUCCAAAUGUCACUGAUGAUCUUGACUGUUUACUUCAUGAAAAUGGUGAGCUGGAAGUACAUGACUUUGAAAAAGAGACUGCUGAAAUCGAAAGAGCGCAUGAUAUUGAUGAUAUUGAAAGUGAUGAAGAGAUGGAAGAAUCUGAUGAAGAUGAACAAAGUGAUUGAAAUUUGAGAUAAAUUAUAGUGAAAAUAAUGACAUUGAAUGAUAACAAGGUGUUGAGUAUAACACAUGACUUUUACUGCAAUAUUUUUAUUUGUGUUCUUUAUUGUGAUUGCUGAUAUUUUCUGCAUCUUGAUGCCAUUUAUAAGUACAGAUACUUAAGUUUCUCAGUCAAAUAAAAAAUUUACUAAUAUAUAUUCUUUUGAAAUCUCUCUCUUUUCCACUCUGACUAUAUGUUCUGCUCUUGAGGCCCCCUAUUCUCUCUAUAAAAAAGAAAACUUUGUCAUUAGGUCCCCACCAGGUUAAAAUCAUAAUCUAUCUCCCGAGUAGAAGCCUGGAUAUUUUCUCCCAUUUUGCAGGGAUUUGCUGCUGGUCUUAUGCUCAGCAUAUCGUUCUUUGACUUGGCUCAUAAUGCUAUAAACUCCAUUGGUUUUUUGAAGGGAAACCUCUGGGUUUUUUGCAGGGGUUAUUUUUUUGCUCUUGUUUCACAUUUCAUUCCAGAACCUACACUUGCACCCAUUUCAGGUGCCAAAGGCAAAAAGAUUCGACGCACGAGGAGGUGAAUUCGAAAGGCAAGGGC
This is a long non-coding RNA of Nicotiana attenuata, 3323 nucleotides long. RefSeq lists it as uncharacterized. The record is from RefSeq and is a predicted model, not a curated record. NCBI's taxonomy places the organism in Eukaryota, Viridiplantae, Streptophyta, Magnoliopsida, Solanales, Solanaceae. The transcript is spliced from 6 exons.